This 500-nucleotide ribosomal RNA is filed under the name uncultured bacterium. Its description in RNAcentral is "partial 16S ribosomal RNA". It matches the Rfam family "Bacterial small subunit ribosomal RNA", at positions 29 to 523 of the family's 1533-position model. The record is from RNAcentral.
AUUGAACGCUGGCGGCAUGCCUUACACAUGCAAGUCGAACGGCAGCACGGGAGCAAUCCUGGUGGCGAGUGGCGAACGGGUGAGUAAAGCAUCGGAACGUGCCCAGUCGUGGGGGAUAACGUAGCGAAAGCUACGCUAAUACCGCAUACGAUCUGUGGAUGAAAGCGGGGGACCGUAAGGCCUCGCGCGAUUGGAGCGGCCGAUGUCAGAUUAGGUAGUUGGUGAGGUAAAGGCUCACCAAGCCGACGAUCUGUAGCUGGUCUGAGAGGACGACCAGCCACACUGGGACUGAGACACGGCCCAGACUCCUACGGGAGGCAGCAGUGGGGAAUUUUGGACAAUGGGCGCAAGCCUGAUCCAGCAAUGCCGCGUGCAGGAUGAAGGCCUUCGGGUUGUAAACUGCUUUUGUACGGAGCGAAACGGCUUCCACUAAUACUGGGGGCUAAUGACGGUACCGUAAGAAUAAGCACCGGCUAACUACGUGCCAGCAGCCGCCGUAA